UCAAGAAUAUUCCCCAAUGGCCGAAAGGCUGAGGGAGCGACGCCGCGUGUAGGAAGAAGCUUUUCGGAGUGUAAACUACUUUUCUGUGGGAAAAAUUAAUGAUGGUACCACAGGAAUAAGGGGCUGCUAACUUCGUGCCAGCAGCAGCGGUAAUACGAAGGCCCCGAGCGUUAUCCGGAUUUAUUGGGCGUAAAGAGCUCAACGGUGGCUCAUCAAGUCUUUGGUUAAAUUUUGAUGCUCAACAUCAAAGCUGCCAGAGAAACUAGUGAGCUAGAGGACAGAAGAGGCAGACGGAAUUGCCGGUGUAGUAGUAAAAUGCGUUAAUAUCGGCAAGAACACCAAUUGCGAAGGCAGUCUGCUGGGAUGCUCCUGACACUUCACGAGCGAAAGCGUGGGUAGCGAUACGG
RNAcentral lists this ribosomal RNA (407 nucleotides) under uncultured bacterium. RNAcentral describes it as "bacterial SSU rRNA". It matches the Rfam family "Bacterial small subunit ribosomal RNA", at positions 355 to 776 of the family's 1533-position model. The record is from RNAcentral.